Non-coding RNA from Rattus norvegicus (Norway rat), 7650 nucleotides. The record is from RefSeq and is a predicted model, not a curated record. Lineage: Eukaryota; Metazoa; Chordata; Mammalia; Rodentia; Muridae.
CGUCAAGUACUGGCAGCACCAAGGAGGGUGGGGAAAGAGGCGGGGAGAAAUGGCGCGCUCUAGUGACGUCAUCACGCUAGACCGGGCCGCAGGAACCGCCCCUCCUUUCCUGCUCCGGGAUGAUUAGCUUCCAAGGAAGCAGUCAUGGUCACAGGUCCACUGAAUGCCCCUCUGCUCAGGCUCCACAUAGCAGCCCAGCCUGCGAUCAUGGAUUAGCUUAUGAGCUCAGAAGGGCAGAGGCAGAGAAGAACAGAAAGACAGCUGGAAGAAACGGGAAGAUUUGGGAAAGUGCUCACAAUUAUAACAUUAGGUGUGUGGUGCUUUCCAUAACUGACAGAAAAAGGAUGAAACAACAUGGAAGUCAGCAUCCCAGAGCCAGUCACUGAUCUGCUCUAUGGGGACAGAUCCUGAAUAGGACAGAACUCAGCGUAGUCUCAGCUCUCGUAGUUACUAAUGUCCCUGGGCUUUUAACCUCUGAACUCCAGUCUUCACUUCUCUUUUUCUUUUCUGGUGUGUGUGUGUGUGUGUGUGUGUGUGUGUGUGUGUGUGUGUGUGUGUGUGUGUUUAGAGUAGCCAGAGGAGGGUGUUGAAUGUCCUUCUCUGUUAUUCUUGCCUUAUUCCCUUAAUACAGGGUUUCUCGCUGAAACUGGAGUUUGCUGUUUUGGCUAAAUUGUCUGGUCAGCUAACCCAGCUGUCCUGUCUCUGCUUCCCAUAAUGUUAGGGCUUCAGGCAAACAGACAGCUACAUCAAGCUUUUUACAUAGGUGCCGGGGAUCUGAACCCAGGUCCUCAUGCCUGUGUGGUAAGCAUUCUUACCCUCUAAGCCAUUUUCCUGCUGCCCCUACAUGCUUACAUGGUUAUAAAGUCUCACAGGGUUUCACUGAGAAGGAAACAUGAUGCUGUCUGGGAAAGCUCUUGGGAAAGUGGAGAACUUGGGUGUUUUAAGUCAUGUAUGGAAGAUGGAAUAAGGUGGAACAAGGGUUGCACCUCUUUCCCCGGAGUUCAGCCCCCACCCCCACAGCAAGGUAAGGCUUCUCUGUGUAGCCCCGGCUAUCCCGGAACUCGCUUUGUAGACCAGGGUUGAUUUGGACUAGAGCUCUGCCUGCCUCUGCCUUCUGAGUAGAUAUUAAAGGUGUGCGCCACCAUGCCUGGCUGGCCUCAGCUUAUGGAUUGCUCUAGUGACUCUGCCAUUUCUUGCACUUUGACUUGAGUUGUUUAGCUAGUGGUUACUGUGUAGUCCAUAUAUCCAGAGCUGAGCUCAACUGGACUGUAGAAGGGUUUCUGGCAGUUGCUAUAACCCAGUUUCGGUUCAGAUCCAUACCUACUAUGGUUUUCUAGUAUACAGAAACAUUGCUCACAAUAGUUCUGCUUCUGCUCCCCCAACCCACCCAUUCCUGUCCCCACUCUUUUGGAGGUGAUGCAAGAAUUGGGGAUUUUCUUUUUUCUUUUUUAAGUUAAAUAGAAAAUUGUGUAAUGCACUUUAUAUUUAAUCCUGUCAUUACCCUUACUGACUCCUUUAUCCUUUCAUAUGGUUUUAAUUUACUAUUUAUGUAUUUUCAUUUGCUCCUGGAAAACUCCCUUGGUAUUUCUUAUAAAUAAGACUAGCUUAGUAAUAAACUCUGUUUUUGCAACUAUCUUAAUUUGUUCAGUUUGAAGACUAAUUUUGAUGGGCUCAGAGUUGCUGGUUGACAGUCUUCCUCUCAGAAUUCCAAAUCUGCCAUCUCACUGUUUUCGAGCCUCUGUGGGUUAAGAAAAUCAGCUGCUAACCUAACCAGGAUCUUGGUGCUGGAAGAGUCUUUUUCUUUUGUUAAGAGUCUGUCUUUCAGAAGUUAUUAUGUUUCUAGGUCUGGAUUGCUUUGAGUUUAUUCUCCUUGGAGUAUGCUGAACUUAUAUGUGUAGACUAAAAUCUUUAUUCCCAUUGAGAAAGUUUUCAAAUAUUUAAACACUACUGUUUCCUGCCCUUCCCUCCUCUCCUGUCCCUUGACUCCCAUCAUGAAGGUGUGGGACAUGGGCUCAGAUCCCAUUGGUCUCUGUGGCUUCGUUCAGGUUUUUUUCCUUUGCUAGUCAUUAUUCCUCUUCUUCAGAGCUCAGCUGGCUUACCUUCUGGUUCACUGGUUCUUCUGGCUGUUCAUCUGAUGAUGAGACUUUAGGGGAGAAUUUUAAUUUUAAUUGUUGUGCUCUUUUUUCAAUCCCAUAAUUUAUUUAUAAAUGAAUAAAAAAUUCUCAUCCUUCUUAAGAUUCUUUAUUCGGCAAGACACAAUGCUCAUAUUUUUUCCCAGUUUUCCUUUAGUCUUUGAACAUAUUUGAAGUUUACAGUUUUGUUUAGUCAUGCUGUGCCCACACUUGCCUGGGGACGACCUCAACUGUUUACUUUUGCCCCGUGUGUAGGCUACUUCAUUACAUUUUUUACACAUCUUGCUUUUUUUGUUGUUGUUGAAAACCAGAGCUUUUCUUUUUUUUUACAUUUAUUAUGUGUGUGCAUGCAGUGCUAAUGUGGAGGUCAGAGAGCAGAGAACUUUGGGUUGGUUCUCUCCUUAUACUAUGUAGAUGCUCAGGGAUGGAACUAAGACUAUCAGGCCUGGACAAAAGUCUUUACACACUAGGCCUUCUCAGCAACCUGCAAAGCAGACACUUGAUGUAAUGGAGGGGAAUCAAGGUUUGUUGAUAUUGCUGCUGUGUAAAAUAUUCUGAGCAUAGCACAGGACUUGAGCUAAUUGGUCUUCAAGCCCAAAGUUCUUCAGAGAGGACUUCCUACAUGCUGGUGUGGAACCCACAUCUCAGGAAAGCCCAUGGCUUGAGAUCCCAGUGUAUUGGAUGAUGAAUCCCUUUAAGGGUCCCCCAAUACCAUAGUAAGAUCUGCUCCAAUCCCUAAGGCCCUGCCAUCUAUAGCAUUUGGCUUGUUUCCUCAGAAUUACUAGAACAUGCUGAGCUCCAGAUGUCAAGUUCAAGGAUCCUGGUCCAUGCCUGGGCAACCUUCUCUGGAGAACUAACUGGACAAAUUGAAGCCAUCUUCUAGCCUCUUAAUUCAUGCUCAGAUCAAACAAGAAUGGUUCCUAAACUGCUUCAAGCUGAAAUGAUCAGUGCCUGGGACAGUAAUUAGCCAGGGUGUCAGAGAUGGCUGCGGCAGGUAAGGAGAAAAUAGAAAAGCUCAAGGGAAGCCAGGAGAAAGGAGCAAUGGCCAAGAGAGGUCUUUCCUAGGAAACAGCUCCUCUUCCUUUCCUGGUGAGGUUUAGGGCUAGCAGUGAGGUGAUAAGAACAGGGGUCUGUCAGAGGUGUCUCCGGCCAUUUCCAGACUGUACAGUUCAUCUGAGAGGAGCACAAAGACAACACUAAGGCCCUCCAACCCCCAACCCCUCCAGCUCUUCCAAGCUGUCCAUCUGUGCAAGAAGCUCCCAUGAAACGGCUCCUUAGGUACAGUGUUGUGACAAGAGUGUGGGAUUUGAAUGCUGCAGACCUGGGUUUAACUGCAGGCUUUGCCACUUCACCACUGUGGUGAGUUGGCCGAGUCGUUAAGAUUCUCUGAGCCUCUGUUUCUAUAUUGGUCAAAGAGGAUGUUAGCCUUUGGUUUGCAGGACAGUAGCAGGGGAUAGGAUUGCAUUUUUAAAGAGUGUGUCAUACAUGCUUGGUAAUUAGUAAGUACUUUUCUGGUCCAUCUUGUUAGCAGCCUUGGAAAAGAAGGAAGAACAAACCACUUCCUCUCUUCAUGUAGCCUUUCUCCACAGCCUUCUUCACCUUGUCUGCCUGAAAGCCUGGCUUAGGGUCCUUAUUAUGAGUUGUCAUAGCACCUUUAUCUUAUUACCUCCAUUUAGCUGAUAACUAGGGACUUAGCUGGGGAUUUGCAUGAUUAAUCCCUGUUUCUUGGAGUAACUUUAAAAAAAUGUUAUGCCUUUAAAAUUUUUUUAUAUAUUUACAUUUUCAAAUUACGUGUGUGUGUGUGUGUGUGUGUGUGUGUGUGUGUGUGUGUGUGUGUUUAUGAGAGAGAGAGAGAGAGAGAGAGAGAGAGAGAGAGAGAGAGAGAGAGAGAGAGAGAACAUAUAUGUGUGGAGGUCCAAGGACAGCUUGCAGGAGUUGGUUCCUAGGGAUCCAACUCAGGUCGUCAGGUUGAACAGCCUCACUAACCAAAAUCUUAGCUUAUAUUUCAAUUCUAUUCUUCCAUUAAAAGAAGCAAGUUCUGUUUGGGUGGAUCAAUGAUCUGUAGGUAAGAAAGAUUGGUAAAAGAAACUUGUUUGUCACUAUCCCCUCCAUAUCCUCUCUCCUCCCUCUUCGGCUGUCCAGCCAGGGUGCUUGAGGGCACUCUCUCCUGUAGCACGGGUUUCCCUGAGGGCACUCUUUCCUGUAGCACGGGUUUCCCUGAGCUCAGUCUGCAGCUUUGUGCUCUGUGUUCCUCCUUCAACUCAGCAGUCUUCUGUCCAGGAGGCUACUUGCCAUUUGAGGCAGAGUUCUUCCACAUUCCCCAUCUCUUUGCGACAGCAUCACCAAUAGAUGGGCUGGGAUGUUCUUUGAUUUGAGUUAGAGUCAGAACAGAAAAAGAAAGCUGAAGGAGGAGGUUUCUUGGAUAUAUUGGGAUCCCUAAUUUUUUCUUUUUGAAGUCCUAAACUGGGGACCUUGUACAUGCUAAGCAGGUGCUUAACCACUAACCUACAACCCCAGCCUUCCCGUGUAAGAGGAAUAUAGGCCCUCAUCUCUCUCCUCCCUCCAGCCCUUUAUCCUUCCCUCUCUCCCUUCUUCUCCCCACCCCUCUUUUUCUCUUUCCCCCUCCCCUCUCUCUUCAACGUUUUGAACACACUAAUGUAACCUAGACUGGCCUUGAACUUUUGAUCCUCCUGACUCAGUUUCUCAGUGCUGGGACUAUAGGCAUGCAUGGCCAUGCCCAGAUCCUAGUUGUCAUAUCCCUUUCCUCGUGGCCUUUGCUAUGUCUUCAGAUUUUUCCUCUCCUUAGAGAACAUGUUUCUCCUCGUACUUCCCCUGGCAACUUUGCAUUAUGACAUUUGCCCUUGCUUUGUAGGGUCCUUUUUCUUCAUUGUUUCUUCAUUGAGAAGGCUCUGAGUCCACUCUUCAUUUGCAGCACUGUCUCCCUGGAACUUAGUGUACUGCAGUGACUUAUCCAUAACCUCUUCGGAGCAGUCAUGGAGCUGAGUCUGGACCCUAGACAGAGCCAUGGGGAUCGGCCUGUGGGAUUUUCUGUGGUCUGUGGCAGCUGAGGUGGAGAGAGACAGCCACUCUGUGUUCAGUAGCUGGCAUGAGCUACUCUGCUCCCUCAGCAAUUCCAGGACAGUGGAGUCUGGCCACCCUCUGCCCUCAAGAAACUAAAAAGGAAACCCAAGGAAGAAAUGUGCUCUACUGGCAGAGAGGCCUGCCCUGGGAAAUGGGGACUUUCCUCCCGAGCUACAGUCACUACCCACCUCCACUAGCUUCAGAGCCUUCUGUAAGAGGCUGUGGGACACCCAUCAAUGUCCCCUCUACCCUCUUGCUGAGGCCCACAGUCUGCAGGAGGUUAACCUCAGGUCUCUUCCUAGUUGCUUCUGAUUCAUUUUCCUGCCUCUGGCCGGAUAGAGGUUUAGAGGUUUGGCUGGGCCCUACUGCUUCGAUCUCUAAGCUAUAGUUCUCGGCCCUGCCUGUGAAAUAGCAAUGGCCAGAAUGAAGGGUGUCUUACCCCCCCGACCCCCAGCAUUCUAUCAGUCUCACCCUCCAGCCAUAAAUCUCUAGUUACACAACAGGAGACUGCUCACCUCCAGGGGUAGAAGAACUCCAGCUCUGUCACUUAGCUUGCAGAACAGCCAGGCCCUGAUGGCCCAGUAUGCACCCAGAGGGUCACACUUAAAUCAUUGGGGUGUCUUGACAAUUCUGGCACCUGGAAUCUGAGCCUCACCCCGAGAUUCUGAUUGUGUAGAUAUAGGCCAGGGCUGGAAUCAGGAUUUUGGAGGUAACCCAGAUAAUUCUGCAUUAAGCCAGGGUACCUUUCAUCUAAAACUUUGUCUAUUAUAGUACUUGAAACAGGAAAGCCCCUGUUGUUCUGUUGUUGCAGUUUUGACCGGGGUGGGGUGUGUGUGUUGGGGGCAGGGUGGUGGUGGUGUUUGUGCCUAGCAGGACCUUGACCUGCUCUGGUCCACCUGGAUAGUUCUCCCAGGGAAGUCCAUAUCUGUGGUUUCCCUCUACAGGUCUAAUGCCUACGUGUAACUGCAGCUUCCCUUCCUACUAGGCUUGUUCACUUUCCAGGCUACCUAAAUACCUCAGCACCCUACUGGGCCUGCCAGUUCUCCCUCCCCUGGACAGCAGGGACCUGUGGUCCUAGAGAUAGAUUCCUCCUUUCAGACCCUUCAGGCCCUUGGAAAGAGCCCAACCAGCCAUUUUCCCAGGCUGGGCUGGGCUGGGCUGGGCUGGGCUUGAGGUGGCCGGGUGGGGGGGGAGCGGCCAGGCCUGAGGUUUGGCGGCUUUCUGUGCUUUUCCUAUUAACAGAUAUGCAGAUGAAUGCUUUUGAACACCAAUAGUACAGAAGGUUUUAGAAACAAGACUGAAGCCCAGAGAAAACCUAAUCAUACACCUUGAAAAAAAUCUUAGAGCUAGCUCCCUCCCACCGACUGUUGCUGCCCACGCCCCAAAAUCAACUUUUCCCAUGACUCACACGUGGCAGCUUGUGCACUUCUUUUAUUAUUAAAUAUAAAAGCAGCUUCCUAUUUUUUAAAUAGAUAUUUAAAUGACCUUAUAUAAAAUAAUUCACCACUUCCAAGUAUAAAAAAACGCAGUCUCACAGUUGGUGAGGCAGUGCUCCCUCUGGGCUUUCUUGGAGGGAAGAAGGGGUUCCUGUGCAGGGAAGCUCCAAAGGUGGGUUUGGGGCUCCUCCUGCUCUUAUGCAACCAGGCACCCACAAAGAGCCUCUUGCAAUGGGUUGGAUUUGCUCUUCUGUCUUUAAUAAUGUAUGUUUAAGAUGGAGGGGUAGGAGAAUGCCUUUUGUUUGUUUCUGUGUUUUUCUUCUAUUUAAAAAUACGUAUUUUCUAGUGUGGAAAUAGUCUGUAACUAGAAGGCUAAGUAAGCCCCACGGGAAAGUCUCCAGUGUCCUCACCCCCUCUGUUGUCUCAGGACAGGGCUGGUGGAGCCUAUAGACCACUCUCCUCCGGAUCCAUGGCCUGAAAGAUUAGCGACCCAGUAGCCAGGGAGGGCAGGAAAGGGGGGAGGCGGGGCAGCAGCAUAAAGAGACCAAGGAGCAAGUAAGAGCCCUGUCACCCAUGCCCAGGUCACCACAGACUAGCCUGGCUCAGGAAACAGAGCAUCAGAGCAGAGUUGGAAGUAAAUGACCCAUUUUUUUUUGAUCCCUCUCUAGACCUGGCUUGCUUGGCUAGAGAUGGCAGGGGGGGGGGUAGGUGAGACUGGGAAGGUAUCCUUCCCUACCAGAGUCAGGUCUGGAGAGCAAAGGCCAGAAGAGGGUGGGGCUGGAGCACAGAGCUCCAUACCCAGAGCUCAGGACCAGACAACCUGCUCAGCUCCAGGCUUCAGGCAGUAGGGGAAGGCAGCUGGCAAGGGACUGGAGUAUAGAGAUCAACUUCAAGCUUAGGGGUACACACAUAUUUUCAAGACCCAUUCUCAUUUAUAGCUCUGCCUGUGGCCUUUGUCUCUGUCUCCCCUUCUUCUCUCCCUUCCCCUAGUCACUUCCCUC